RNAcentral lists this transfer RNA (24 nucleotides) under Scoparia dulcis (licorice weed). RNAcentral's name for it is "partial tRNA-Leu". RNAcentral also lists the same sequence under 16 other names. Lineage: Eukaryota; Viridiplantae; Streptophyta; Magnoliopsida; Lamiales; Plantaginaceae. The record is from RNAcentral.
UCCGUCGACUUUAAAAAUCGUGAG